This 335-nucleotide ribosomal RNA is filed under the name uncultured bacterium. RNAcentral's name for it is "bacterial SSU rRNA". It matches the Rfam family "Bacterial small subunit ribosomal RNA", at positions 29 to 369 of the family's 1533-position model. The record is from RNAcentral.
AUUGAACGCUGGCGGCAUGCCUUACACAUGCAAGUCGAGCGCGAAAGGGGGGCAACCCCGAGUAGAGCGGCGGACGGGUGAGUAACGCAUCGGAACGUGCCCAGUAGUGGGGGACAACCUCGAGAAAUCGAGGCUAAUACCGCAUACGACCCACGGGUGAAAGCGGGGACGCAAGGCCUCGCGCUAUUGGAGCGGCCGAUGUCCGAUUAGCUAGUUGGCGGGGUAAGAGCCCACCAAGGCGACGAUCGGUAGCUGGUCUGAGAGGACGACCAGCCACACUGGGACUGAGACACGGCCCAGACUCCUACGGGAGGCAGCAGUGGGGAAUUUUGGAC